UGUGGGCUUCCACUUUUCUCGCGUCAGGAUGGGACUGCGGCCGAUCAGGCUGUUGGCGGGGUAAUGGCCCACCAAACCUGUAACCGGUACGGGCCUUGAGAGAGGUGGCCCGGAGAUGGACACUGAGACAAGGGUCCAGGUCCUACGGGGCGCAGCAGGCGCGAAACCUUCGCAAUGCGCGAAAGCGUGACGAGGUUAAUCCGAGUGGCUUCCGCUUAGGAAGUCUUUUGCCGACUCUAAAAAGGUCGGAGAAUAAGGGGAGGGGCAAGUCUGGUGUCAGCCGCCGCGGUAAUACCAGCUCCUCGAGUGUGGUCGGGGCGAUUAUUGGGCCUAAAGCAUCCGUAGCCGGUUCCGUAGGUCUCCUGCAAAAUCCAGUCGCUCAACGAUUGGCCCGCAGGAGAUACCGCGGGACUAGGAGGCGGGAGAGGUGGACGGUACUCCACGUGUAGGGGUAAAAUCCUUUGAUCCGUGGAAGACCACCAGUGGCGAAGGCGGUCCACCAGAACGCGCUCGACGGUGAGGGAUGAAAGCUGGGGGAGCGAACCGGAUUAGAUACCCGGGUAGUCCCAGCCGUAAACGAUGCGAGCUAGAUGAUCCAAUCGCAAAUCGCGAUUGGA
This 617-nucleotide ribosomal RNA is filed under the name uncultured archaeon. Its description in RNAcentral is "bacterial SSU rRNA". It matches the Rfam family "Archaeal small subunit ribosomal RNA", at positions 187 to 797 of the family's 1478-position model. The record is from RNAcentral.